RNAcentral lists this ribosomal RNA (253 nucleotides) under uncultured bacterium. Its description in RNAcentral is "partial 16S ribosomal RNA". It matches the Rfam family "Bacterial small subunit ribosomal RNA", at positions 524 to 776 of the family's 1533-position model. The record is from RNAcentral.
UACGGGGGGAGCAAGCGUUGUUCGGAUUCACUGGGCGUAAAGGGUGCGCAGGCGGUUGGGUGUGUCAGAUGUGAAAUCCCGAGGCUCAACCUCGGAACUGCGUCUGAAACUACUCGACUAGAGUACUGGAGAGGGUAACGGAAUUCACGGUGUAGCAGUGAAAUGCGUAGAUAUCGUGAGGAACACCAGAGGCGAAGGCGGUUACCUGGACAGUUACUGACGCUCAGGCACGAAAGCAUGGGGAGCAAAAGGG